GGCAUGCCUUACACAUGCAAGUCGAACGGUAACAGGUCUUCGGAUGCUGACGAGUGGCGAACGGGUGAGUAAUACAUCGGAACGUGCCCGAUCGUGGGGGAUAACGGAGCGAAAGCUUUGCUAAUACCGCAUAAGAUCUACGGAUGAAAGCAGGGGACCGCAAGGCCUUGCGCGAACGGAGCGGCCGAUGGCAGAUUAGGUAGUUGGUGGGAUAAAAGCUUACCAAGCCGACGAUCUGUAGCUGGUCUGAGAGGACGACCAGCCACACUGGGACUGAGACACGGCCCAGACUCCUACGGGAGGCAGCAGUGGGGAAUUUUGGACAAUGGGCGCAAGCCUGAUCCAGCCAUGCCGCGUGCAGGAUGAAGGCCUUCGGGUUGUAAACUGCUUUUGUACGGAACGAAAAGACUCUGGUUAAUACCUGGGGUCCAUGACGGUACCGUAAGAAUAAGCACCGGCUAAC
RNAcentral lists this ribosomal RNA (463 nucleotides) under Acidovorax sp. '7.3 MW-2'. RNAcentral's name for it is "bacterial SSU rRNA". It matches the Rfam family "Bacterial small subunit ribosomal RNA", at positions 41 to 501 of the family's 1533-position model. Lineage: Bacteria; Pseudomonadati; Pseudomonadota; Betaproteobacteria; Burkholderiales; Comamonadaceae. The record is from RNAcentral.